RNAcentral lists this small nuclear RNA (100 nucleotides) under Nannospalax galili (Upper Galilee mountains blind mole rat). The record is from RNAcentral. Lineage: Eukaryota; Metazoa; Chordata; Mammalia; Rodentia; Spalacidae.
GUGCUUCAACAGCACAUACACUAAAAUUGGAAUGAUACAGAGAUUAGCAUGGCCCCUGGGCAAGGAUGACAUGCAAAUUCAUGAAGCAUUCCAUAUUUUU